Molecule: long non-coding RNA, 4937 nt
Organism: Passer domesticus (house sparrow)
Lineage: Eukaryota; Metazoa; Chordata; Aves; Passeriformes; Passeridae
Exons: 3
Source: RefSeq, a predicted model, not a curated record
CUUGGUGCUGUGACCACUUCCCUGGGAAGCCUGUUCCAGUGCCCAAACACCCUCUGGGUAAUGACUCUUUUCUAAUAUCCACCUCAACCUCCCUGACACAACUUCAGGCCAUUUCCUUGGGUCUUGUCACCACAGACAAGAGAUCAGGGGCUGCCCUCCUCUUCCCCUCACAAGGAAGGAGGACAAGGAAUGUAACUGCAUUGAGGCCUCCCCUCAGUCUCCUCCAGGCUGAACAGACCAAGUGCCCUCAGUCACUCCUCAUACAGCUUCCCAUCAAGGACCUUCACCAUCUUUGUUGCUCUCCUUUGGACACUCUCUAAUAAGUUAUAUCCUUCUUACAUUGUGGUGUCCAAAACUGCACACAAUAUUCAAGGACUUCGAGGUCCCUUUCCAUGCCACUGCUUUAUAGAAUCUCAUUCUCCAGUCUGUCUGUACAGCCAGAGUUGCCCCACGCCAGGUUUAGAACCCAGCACUUGUUGAACUUCCUAUGUUUGGUGAUUGCCCAGCCCUCUGAUCUGUCGAGGUCUCUCUGCAGGGCCUCUCUGCCCUCAAGGGAGUCAACAGCUCCUCCCAGUUUUGUAUCAUUUGUGAAUUUGCUCAGUGCCCCUUCAAGUCCUGCAUCCAAGCUGUUCAUGAAGAUGUUGAAGAGCACAGGGCUGAGGAUGGCACCUGUAGAACCCCACUAGUGAAAGUCCCCAGUCUGAUGUCACCGAUUCAUGAUAAGCCCUUGUGUCUGAUCCAUGAGGCAGUUGCUCACCCAUUACAUGAUGUGGAUGUUUAUCCAGCUGUGCACUAGACAUUUAUUCCAGAGGACACUCUGAGAGACAGCAUUGAGAGCUUUACUGAAAUCCCAAAAUAUACCAUUAACUGGCUUCCCUUGAUCAAAUCUGGUCGAGAUUUAAACUAGACACUGAAUGCAGAACCCCCCUGGGUGGAACAGGAAGAAGUUACAGAAGGUGGCUUAUAGAGCAGAGAUAUAAAAAAUGGUAGAACAUUUUUCUUGUAAAAACUUGUGUCAAAGCAUUGUCCAGAGAAGUCAAAGAUAAAUAUCAUAAAGACAAGUUUGCAAAAUGGCAAAUUUUCUUGUACCCUCAAAGUUUCAUUUUGUUCAACAACACAGGAGGCUUACUCCUUAGAACUUCUCUUUGGAAGUUUUGUAUCAUAGUAAUUCAAACUCUUCAAAUUUCAACUCCCUUUCAAUUUUUUUUCUGGGAAAAUUAAAACUCAUUCACUGAACUUUAUCAUUAACAAUUUUUUUAUUUACAGAGUAAGCCAUCCUCACUAAGAAAAGAUGACACAAAAGCUCUGAAUGAAAAGGAAUCUUUUACAAGAAAAGGGUGAGAGAGCUGGGCCUAUUAAGACCUGAGAAAACAUAACUGAGAGGGGACCUCGUUGAAGCCUCCCAAUGAAGGGAGGGUGUUAGAGGAUGUUCCAGGCUCACCUUAAUGGUGCCAAGCAAUAAGAGAAGAGGCAAUGGGCAGAAACUGAUGCACAGGAGGUUCCGUCUGAACAUGAGGAAAACUUCUUUACUGUGCAGAUGACUGAGCUCUGGAACUGAUUACCAAACGACCCCACCAUGGUCCCUUCCAACCAUGCUGUGAUUCUGUGGUGUGUCACAUGCUGUCUAACUUGAACGUAAAAUCUCUGAAUAUUCCUGUCUGCAUAGAACACAAUACUACAAGACACUAAGUGUAAAAAAUCUUUGCUAACUUAAAAGGCAAGAAAUAAAUUCAGACAAUUUUUUAACAAGAUAGAAUAUGGAAGUAAAUUUCUAAGUACUUUAAAGACUAAUUUCAAAAAUCUGGUUACUUAAAUGAUUGCAACAGGUACUUAAAAGACACGAUUUAGUAUAUAUUUUCCUCCUGUUCUCAGUCAUAAGCAGAAAUAUCUGUAGGCACUCAUACAUAUAGAUAUACCCACAUUUUAAAUAUUCAUAGCACAUCUGUUUAUGGCAUAUGAAUAUUCAUAAAGAAAUUAGAGGGAUGCUGACAGAGAGACGUGUAAAUGAAAUAGCUUCUCAAAGAUACGAAAGCAGAUAGUAUGCAGAGGUAUAAAUACACUGAAAUUUCUGUGCUUUCAUUGGGACUACUGUCUACUGAGCCUACAUCACUUCUCUGUACAAGACAAAGCCUCAGCUCUUCAACCUAAUAAAUGCACAUGAAAACAACCAUUACAACUUUCCAUUGCUAGGAUAUUUUGGAGAGAAAAGGGGAAAUUCCUCAACACACACAAUAAGAUUCCCUUGCUUAUAUUAUUGUGGAGAUAUUUUGGAGAUGAAAUAGGAAAUAUUUUGGAUAUUUUGGAGAUGAAAGGGGAAAUUCCUUAAAACCCAAGUUGAAGCUUCACAUAAAGUCAGAUUAAUUUCCUGUAGGAUAUUAAAACUCCUAAAAAGACCAAAAAAACAAAACACAAAAACAAAACCAAAACUAAAAAAAACCAAACCAACCCACCACCGCAAAAAGCCACCGAAAAAACAAACAGAAACCCCCCAAAAACCACCCCAAAAAACCCACAAAAAACCCAACCAACCAACCAAACAGACAAAAAACCCAAACAAAAACCACACAAUAAAUCCAAAAUAAGGUCAGAGGGCUGGAGCCCCUCUCCUAUGAAGACAAGCUGAGGAAGCUGGAGUUGUUCAGCCUGGAGAAGAGAAGGCUCCAGGCAGACUUUACAGCAGCCUUCCACUACCCAAAUGGGGCACACAAGAGAGUUGGAAAGGGGUGUUUUACUAGGGUAUGAAGUGAUUGGGGAGGGGGGAAUGGCUUUAAACUGAAAGGGAUCAAGUUUAGAUUAGAUAUUAGGAAGAAAUGUUUUACUGUGAGGGUGAUGAGCACUGGAGCAGGGUACCCAGAAAAGCUGUGGCUGCCCCAUUCCUGGAAGUGUUCAUGGCCAGGAUGGGUGGAGCGUUGAACAGUCUGGUGUACUGGAAGGUGUCCCUGCCUAUGGUAGAGGGGGGUUGGAACUAAAUGACCUUCAAGGUCCGUUCCAACCCAAACCAUUCUAUGACUCUAUGGUAAAUAAAGAUCAAUACAUUUUAGACUGCAAUUGUAAUAGAAAAGAGAAAUAGUUUGCCUGAAAGUUUCAAACCACAUUUAGUCUGAUAAAUGUAAUAGAUACAAUUAGACAACCCAAAUGCUUACUUAUAUAUUUAGCAUUGAUAUCUUUCUUGAAUAUAUCAGUUUUCUGAAGAGGUGUUUUCAACUAUACAUGAUUCCAAAAUAAUUUAAGUUAACCUUACAUGUAUACUGCCUCAAAACCUUUAACACAUAAACUGUCAUUGAAAUAAAGUUUUAAUUAAUAAUGUAACAAUUCCACACCAUAACAAUAACAAGUGUAUUUAUCUUGACAUUGAUUUGCUCUGCAAAAAAACCCCAAAAGUAACAGAAACGGUAACUCCCAUACUUGCAUGACUGACUUAAAAUAUUCCUGGAUCCAUUCUGAACAGAAAUUAAUGAAGUUACAUAUUAGGUUCUAAAAUUACUAUUACAUGUUACGGCUGUUGAGCUGGUAAUGGGUUGGUGCAACAUCUUCUCCAGUUCUGGGGGUGUUAUGAAAUUAAUGCAUGUGAGAACAAUCUCUACUCCUGAAGCUGAAGUGUUGUAUUAUUCAACUGCAGAAACAAUAGCUCUGAAUACCAAACUUAAGAUCAUCCACACCAAAUGGCACAAAACAAACUACACCAGUCUUACUCUGGAAUCUCUAUUCAACUUCCAAUGAUAAAAUUCAGGGCAUCCAUUUCACAUAGCACAAUUUCUACAUGUAGUUCCAGUCUCUGUAUCUCUGAAGUGUACUGCUAAGGAGUCGAGCAGCUGCCCUAUACAUAAGUGAAGAAAUUUGGAACUCUCAGAAGUAAAAGUCUGCAGAGAAUAGGAGCAAGUUUGUAAGAUCCUAACAACAGUGGGUUAAGGGGAAUACCAAAGGGAUUUUCACCAAGCUCCAUGCAACACCAAAACACAGCAUCAACCCAGGAAGCAAACAAAAAUAACUCAUUUAGACAGCAGGUAGUGAACUUGGGAAAUCUGUCAUCACAAGGGUUCUCCAGGCUGACAGCAUUUAUCUGCAUUAUCAGUAUUACUGAAAAGAUAAAUUGGAUAUAAUAAAGGAAAACAGUUUCCAAAGUUAGACUAUGGUUUAGUGUCUUGCACUGUCACUAUCAGAAACAGAUUGGUGGGGUCAGACUGCAGUUCUGACCUCAGUAAGAACCUGCUUCUGUUUGAAUUCUUAACUUCUAUUUUCUUAUCUUGCAUUUGAAGUGUACUUAGAGGUACUGCAAAUCCUGACCACAAAAAGAUCAGUUUUCCAUCCUUGACUUCUGGCCCUCUUUGUAGGAAGACUGUCAGAAAAGCCUGAUAGAUUAAUUUUACUACAAUAUUUCAGAGCAGCACUAUAUGAAGGACUUCAUUCUAUAAUGCAGCUCGCAACAGAGAAACUGGUAGCUUAUCUGCAUCGGUGUUUGCUGAGCCUAAAAACAUCACCACAGUACUGUAGCAAUGCUCUUUGUGACAUCGUGACAAGUGAUUUUCUAACUUGAAUUUAGGCACAACCAACUUCAGUUGUCAAGGUUGUUAGGUUAGCUCCCACAAACAAUUUUUACAGGAUUCAUUCAACCAAAUGCUUGGCAACUCUGUGCAGCAGAGGUUAAAAUCUGUAAGAAACUGAUCUGCUUGUACAAGCAUUCAUAUCAUCUACUGCUUAUGUUACCUCACACAAAGACCCAUGUAUCAAAUCUUGAUCCUCAAUCUGUUCUCCAGGCUGCUUUAUCAGAUUACUUUUUAGUCUCAGGAAAGUAUUCCAUGCGGGGUUUUAUCUGAGGGCAUUACUGCAAAAGAGUCUGCUUCUCAUUGAAAACUUUGCAAAGACAAAAGUGUGAGAAAGCUCAUGUAGUCACUAUAAUCCUAAUUCCUUCCAAGAAAUUGGAAGUUCAUGACAUCCAA